This 72-nucleotide transfer RNA is filed under the name Anaerobutyricum soehngenii. Its description in RNAcentral is "tRNA-Asn". It matches the Rfam family "tRNA". From Rfam's summary of the family: Transfer RNA (tRNA) molecules are approximately 80 nucleotides in length. Their secondary structure includes four short double-helical elements and three loops (D, anti-codon, and T loops). Further hydrogen bonds mediate the characteristic L-shaped molecular structure. tRNAs have two regions of fundamental functional importance: the anti-codon, which is responsible for specific mRNA codon recognition, and the 3' end, to which the tRNAs corresponding amino acid is attached (by aminoacyl-tRNA synthetases). tRNAs cope with the degeneracy of the genetic code in two manners: having more than one tRNA (with a specific anti-codon) for a particular amino acid; and 'wobble' base-pairing, i.e. permitting non-standard base-pairing at the 3rd anti-codon position. The record is from RNAcentral. RNAcentral also lists the same sequence under 1 other name. Lineage: Bacteria; Bacillati; Bacillota; Clostridia; Lachnospirales; Lachnospiraceae.
UGGUUCAUAGCUCAAUGGUAGAGCACUCGGCUGUUAACCGAGUUGUUGUAGGUUCGAGCCCUACUGGAUCAG